UACGGAGGGUGCAAGCGUUAUCCGGAUUCACUGGGUUUAAAGGGUGCGUAGGUGGGCAGUUAAGUCAGCGGUGAAAUCUCUGGGCUUAACCCAGAAACUGCCAUUGAUACUAUCUGUCUUGAAUAUCCUGGAGGUGAGCGGAAUAUGUCAUGUAGCGGUGAAAUGCUUAGAUAUGACAUAGAACACCAAUUGCGAAGGCAGCUCACUACGGGGUUAUUGACACUGAGGCACGAAAGCGUGGGGAUCAAACAGG
RNAcentral lists this ribosomal RNA (253 nucleotides) under uncultured bacterium. Its description in RNAcentral is "partial 16S ribosomal RNA". It matches the Rfam family "Bacterial small subunit ribosomal RNA", at positions 524 to 776 of the family's 1533-position model. The record is from RNAcentral.